Molecule: non-coding RNA, 114 nt
Organism: Acanthosepion pharaonis
Lineage: Eukaryota; Metazoa; Mollusca; Cephalopoda; Sepiida; Sepiidae
Source: the annotation of a GenBank genome assembly
UUACGGUCAUAGCACGUUUAAAUACAGGUUCUCGUCCGAUCAACGAAGUUAAAUAACGUUGAACCUGGUCAAUGCCGAGAUGGGCGACCAUUCGGGAAUACCAGGUGCUGUAAG